Molecule: ribosomal RNA, 120 nt
Filed under: uncultured bacterium
Lineage: Bacteria
Description: partial 16S ribosomal RNA
Rfam family: Bacterial small subunit ribosomal RNA
Source: RNAcentral
CACGCCGUAAACGAUGAGUGCUAGGUGUCGGGUGUCAAAGCUCGGUGCCGCAGCUAACGCAUUAAGCACUCCGCCUGGGGAGUACGUACGCAAGUAUGAAACUCAAAGGAAUUGACGGGG